Molecule: ribosomal RNA, 574 nt
Filed under: uncultured bacterium
Lineage: Bacteria
Description: bacterial SSU rRNA
Rfam family: Bacterial small subunit ribosomal RNA
Source: RNAcentral
AUUCCUACGGGAGGCAGCAGUGGAGAAUAUUGCACAAUGGGCGCAAGCCUGAUGCAGCAACGCCGCGUGCGGGAUGACGGCCUUCGGGUUGUAAACCGCUUUCAGCAGGGACGAAGUGAAAAUGACGGUACCUGCAGAAGAAGCACCGGCUAACUACGUGCCAGCAGCCGCGGUGAUACGUAGGGUGCGAGCGUUGUCCGGAUUUAUUGGGCGGAAAGAGCUUGUAGGCGGUCUGUCACGUCGAAAGUGCAAACUCAGGGCUUAACCCUGAGCCUGCUUUCGAUACGGGCUGACUAGAGGAAGGUAGGGGAGAAUGGAAUUCCCGGUGGAGCGGUGGAAUGCGCAGAUAUCGGGAGGAACACCAGUGGCGAAGGCGGUUCUCUGGACCUUUCCUGACGCUGAGAAGCGAAAACGUGGGGAGCAAACAGGCUUAGAUACCCUGGUAGUCCACGCCGUAAACGGUGGGUACUAGGUGUGGGGGACAUUCCACGUUCUCUGUGCCGUAGCUAACGCAUUAAGUACCCCGCCUGGGGAGUACGGCCGCAAGGCUAAAACUCAAAUGAAUUGACGGAAU